This 626-nucleotide ribosomal RNA is filed under the name Escherichia coli. RNAcentral describes it as "partial 23S ribosomal RNA". It matches the Rfam family "Bacterial large subunit ribosomal RNA", at positions 566 to 1191 of the family's 2925-position model. The record is from RNAcentral. Lineage: Bacteria; Pseudomonadati; Pseudomonadota; Gammaproteobacteria; Enterobacterales; Enterobacteriaceae.
GUACAAGCAGUGGGAGCACGCUUAGGCGUGUGACUGCGUACCUUUUGUAUAAUGGGUCAGCGACUUAUAUUCUGUAGCAAGGUUAACCGAAUAGGGGAGCCGAAGGGAAACCGAGUCUUAACUGGGCGUUAAGUUGCAGGGUAUAGACCCGAAACCCGGUGAUCUAGCCAUGGGCAGGUUGAAGGUUGGGUAACACUAACUGGAGGACCGAACCGACUAAUGUUGAAAAAUUAGCGGAUGACUUGUGGCUGGGGGUGAAAGGCCAAUCAAACCGGGAGAUAGCUGGUUCUCCCCGAAAGCUAUUUAGGUAGCGCCUCGUGAAUUCAUCUCCGGGGGUAGAGCACUGUUUCGGCAAGGGGGUCAUCCCGACUUACCAACCCGAUGCAAACUGCGAAUACCGGAGAAUGUUAUCACGGGAGACACACGGCGGGUGCUAACGUCCGUCGUGAAGAGGGAAACAACCCAGACCGCCAGCUAAGGUCCCAAAGUCAUGGUUAAGUGGGAAACGAUGUGGGAAGGCCCAGACAGCCAGGAUGUUGGCUUAGAAGCAGCCAUCAUUUAAAGAAAGCGUAAUAGCUCACUGGUCGAGUCGGCCUGCGCGGAAGAUGUAACGGGGCUAAACCAUG